GUUUGGCUUAUAUAAUUGUCUAUAAAUAGGCCAUGCACACAUUAUGUAAACAGGUUUUGAGUUUUGAGAAUCAAUAUAAUUCUGAGCUUUAUGCUUGUUUAAAUCCUACACUUAUCUCUUCAUAAGAGUACCGUGUGCUUUGAGUCUUAUUACCGUUAUGGUGUGACGACUUGAUUUGGAAAUUCAUCCAAGAUUGAUUCAAGAUUGUUCAAGAAGCAUGCAGGAUCCUUGUUCUUGAAUUAAUUUCAAGUCGGCGUGCACUUUGCAUAUUCAAAUCUGAUGUGAUUCAAUCAUACAAGAUUGAAUUGAUCAAGUUGUGUCAAUACAACUCCAUUCGCGUGCAACCAGCAUUGGCUUGCCAUUGUUCCAACUUCUUUAAUUUCUUUUUUCUGAGUUGUUUUCAUUGUAUUGAGUUGUUUGGGUUGCUAGAAUGUUUGGUGCAUGUUAAAAAUUCUUUGCUGAGUGUUUAAUUUGUUACAAUUGUGUGAACAUUUGGCUUGUUUCAAUAGUUGAUCAAAUUGCAUUAUUGUUAUUAUUCUGAUUUCUACUUUUUUGUUGAUUGUAACUUUUUAAGGCACACCAGAACUGCACUCGUUAAUAUGUAUGGUAAGUGUGGAAGCAUUCGAAGAACCAGUAAGGCCUUUGUGGAGAUGUCCACAAGAACUAUGAUAUCAUGGACUCCACUGAUUACUCGAUUUGCACAGCAUGGUCAGUGACCGCCAGCACCGCAACUUUUGAGGAUAUGAGGCUAACAGGGUUUAGACAAACCAGAUUACUUUUGUUGGUGUUUUGGCUGCUUGCAGCCAUGCUGGAAUUAUUGACAAAGCACUUGGAUCCUUCGAGAUGAUGCAAAAAGAAUACAGAAUUAAGCCUGUGAUGGAC
RNAcentral lists this unclassified non-coding RNA (882 nucleotides) under Hevea brasiliensis (rubber tree). The record is from RNAcentral. Lineage: Eukaryota; Viridiplantae; Streptophyta; Magnoliopsida; Malpighiales; Euphorbiaceae.